AUAUCCUCUAUUUUGUGGUCGGCUAGAGUGAAAUGACGUCUGCUACACGUUUUGUGUUUGUCUCGAAAAUCUCGCGUCUUUUCUCGAAUGUGAAACUCAUGUUGUGAUGAUGCUGAUGAUGAUGAUGAUGAUAAACUGAAUAACUGUUACACAAUAUUAAAAGGUCAUCCAAAAAUACUUUCUUCCCAAUUUACUUCUUUACUUCGCGAAUAUAUUUAUACAAUAUUACUAUCGAAAAGUUUUCUUCUGAAUUUCCUUAAUAGUUCAAAUUUCGUUGAAAAAAAAUGGAUCCAGACGAACCAAAGAGGAAAAAAUUCAAACUUCUAAUGAAGGCGUCAAUAACGGAAAUGUUUGAUAUUUCCAAAGAUUGGAUGAAUGGUGAAAAGUUUGCAGUUUGCCGCAUGUGUUCCGAUCAACGAGCUAUUAAAAUGACAAAUUCAAAUACUUCGGGUCUUCACAGACAUCUAAAAUCUCAUCAUUCUAAGAUUUAUGAAGGGAUUCUUAACGAGUGUCACGGAGAGGAUACUUCGCCUAUUUUCAUUCAAGUUGAUGAUUUAAGAAAAGAACAAGAACGAGAACCGAUUUCGAAAUCAGAAUUAAUGAGUAUGUUUGAUAUUAAACGUGAUGAAAUUAAUGGUGAAAAAUAUGCUGUGUGCAAAUUUUGCAAAGAUUAUCGGGUUAUAAAAAUGACUAAAUCGAAUACAUCAGGAUUGCAUAGGCACGUGACUAGGUACCACAAUAGAGUUUACAACAAAGGACCACAAGAAGAAACGUUUGAAGAGAUGUCGGAUUUCCCGGCGGAGGGGGGCGAAAAUGGAGACAUGCACGCAGUCAUGGAAAAUUUUCAAAAAAAAAAUAACUUGAUAGGUGGAAGGACACAUGUAACACACACACACCACCCACAGGUCACAUCAUCUUCACAGAUGCUGACAAAUCAGAGCCAGAGCAGCAGUUCGAGCACUACCACCACGAGUAGUACGAGUAGGGUGGCCAAAUCCUCGCAGAGGAUUCUCACCUCGUCAUCAAGUGAAAUGAAAACAAGUUGCGUGAAAAAAAAUCUUCAGGAAAUUCAACAGGGCAUGGCCGAAAUGAGAAAUAUCUCGACAAAUUUCUCUCACAGGCUACGGAAUAGCAUGGAAAAUCUUGUCGAUCGGGACGGAAGUGGGACCGAGGAAGGAGACCUCACAGAGCCUUUGGUAACUUUUCCAGAUCCUGACACUCCACCACCUGUUACUGGAACUGUUUCCAUUACAGGAUCACCGUCACAACUAACCUCUCUAAACAAUCUUCACAGUAUAAGUCCGCCGUUAAAUAUCACUAGUAUGCCCAGUUUGCCAUCUGGCCAAGAGACUAUGAAAUUUGAGCAGAAAAAAAUGACCAGUGCUUCGAAAACAAAGGUCGUCACGGAUGGUUUUAGUGCGGAAAAAGCAAUUGCAAACACAGCUGAAAUGAGAGCAGUUCAAGCUGGCGAUGUAUCAUAUAAAGAACAAAGUGCAGCAAGCGCAGCGAGGGCACGUGUCGAAAUUGAUGGGGUUUCAGCUGAAAAAAGCGUCGCUGCUGCUAGAGAGCAGAGGAGUUUGAAAGCCGGCGAUCUUUCGCAUCAGGAGAGCAACAAUAUGGCAGCAUCCACGAUGAAAUUGCAGAGCGAUUCUUUCAGUUCGGAAAAGAAAGCAAUGGCUGCUCAGCAACAACGUCAGACAGUAACAUCCUCUGGAGUAUUUAAUCACGAAAAAGUUGUCGCCGCCACAUCGCAAUCGAGUAUAUCGUACAAUUCGAAAAACGUCACAUCCAAAUCGUCAAUGAUCAGUGCGGCGAGUGCAGUGAAUCAAUUAAUGAACGGCAUGCGAUAUAAUGACGACGAACUUUUAUCAUUACCACUCGACGAUCUCGAUCUACUUUGCACCAAUUCCAAUCCCCAGGAUGUCGAUUUGGCAAUAAAGAAAUAUUCCGGAUUCCUCGAGACAUUUGUCCAACGAUUGAAAACCGACGAAGUGAGUGCCAGUGGUAAGGCGCCGCUGCUACUGAAUCGUGUCAAUGAAAUAAUCCGCAAGGCCUGGGCGGUGCCGACUCACGGUCACGAGUUGGGCUACUCUCUGUGUAAUGCACUUCGCAACAAGGGUGGUUUGGAUAUUCUGAUGACGAACUGCAUUGCUAGUGACGAGGAUCUACAAUUUUCUUCCGCUCAAUUGCUCGAGCAGUGUCUCACGACCGAGAAUCGUGCUCACGUGGUGCAAAAUGGUCUGGAGAAGGUGGUGAAUGUUGCGUGUGUUUGCACGAAGAAUGCGAAUUCGGUGGAUCAUUCGCGAGUUGGAACUGGAAUUUUGGAGCAUCUUUUUAAGCACAGCGAGGGAACGUGCAGUGAUGUGGUGAGGCUCGGCGGUCUCGACGCUGUGCUCUUCGAAUGUCGAAAGAAUGACGUGGAAACACUGAGACAUUGUGCCGGCGCCUUGGCGAAUUUGUCACUUUAUGGCGGUGCGGAAAAUCAAGAGGCGAUGAUAAAAAGAAAAGUCCCAAUGUGGUUGUUUCCCCUAGCGUUUCACAAUGACGACAAUAUUAAAUAUUACGCGUGUCUUGCCAUUGCGGUCCUAGUGGCGAACAAUGAAAUCGAAGCAGCGGUUUUGUCCUCCGGCACACUUGAUCUCGUCGAGCCGUUCGUCACUUCGCACAAUCCGUACGAAUUCGCAAAAUCGAAUCUCGCCCACGCUCACGGUCAGAGUAAAAAUUGGCUUCAACGACUCGUGCCUGUUCUCAGCUCGAAACGCGAGGAGGCGAGGAAUCUAGCGGCUUUUCAUUUUUGCAUGGAGGCUGGCAUCAAGAAGCAGCAGGCGAAAACGGAAAUAUUCCGCGCGAUCGGCGCAAUUGAACCGCUGAAGAAAGUCGCCAGCUCGCCGAAUGCGAUCGCCUCGAAAUACGCGGCACAAGCUCUCCGGCUAAUUGGCGAGGAAGUUCCACAUAAAUUAAGUCAACAAGUUCCAUUGUGGUCGACGAAGGAUGUGAUGGAGUGGGUGAAGCAAAUUGGUUUCGAAGAAUUGGCGUCGAAUUUCGUCGACAGUCGAGUUGACGGCGAUCUUUUGCUGCAAUUGACAGAGGACAAUUUAAAGGAAGACAUUGGUUUGACGAACGGCAUCAGGCGGCGACGAUUCACGCGUGAAUUGCAAAAUUUGAAAAAAAUGGCCGACUACAGUAGUCGGGACACGGGGAAUCUCAGCAGUUUCCUCCAGUCGAUUGGACAGGAGUUUUCAAUCUACACGUACAGUAUGCUGAACGCGGGCGUUGACAAGGAUUCGAUAAAGAACCUCAAUGAGGAUCAACUUAUCACUGAGUGUGGGAUUUCGAAUAGUAUUCAUAGGUUACGGAUAUUGGACUCGAUCAAGAAUAUGCAGCACAAUCAAUUUAAUUCUUAUGAGAGUGAAUCGCCGGAUAAAUCGUUGGAUGUCUUUGUCAGUUAUCGAAGAUCGAAUGGAUCGCAAUUGGCAAGUCUUCUUAAAGUUCAUCUGCAACUGAGGGGAUUUUCCGUCUUCAUUGAUGUCGAGAGACUCGAGGCUGGGAAAUUCGAUAAUAAUCUACUUCAAAGUAUUCGACAGGCGAAACAUUUUCUCCUCGUUCUAACGCCAAAGGCUCUUGAACGGUGUAUUCAGGAUACCGAGUGCAAGGACUGGGUUCACAGGGAAAUUGUGGCCGCUCUGCAAUCACAAUGCAACAUCAUUCCGAUAAUAGAUAAUUUCGCGUGGCCAGAACCAGAGGAAUUGCCCGAAGACAUGAGAGCAGUUUGCCAUUUUAACGGUGUUCGUUGGAUUCACGAUUAUCAGGAUGCGUGCGUAGACAAAUUAGAGAGAUUUAUGCGAGGUGAAAUUCCAGUACGAUCAGAUUGUUCAGGAGGUCUUCCCAGAAGCAUUGGUUCCAAGGAUUUGCCAACACCCGGAACACCAGGCAGUACAAAUAUGAGACAACCACCGAGUUAUCAAAGAAUGCACAGCAAUGAAAGUAAAGGAAGUGACAAAGAUUCGGUUAGCGGGAAGGAUUCAAUCAGCGGCAAAGAUUCGAUCUGUGGGAAAGAUUGACUAGAUGGCCCGCCCACAGCUAUACCAGUUAGCCGGGAUUAAGAAAAAUGCAAUUUGCAAAUGAGAAUUAGGCUUCGAAAGUCGUCCAGUCCGUCCGGUCGAUUAUUGAGUCUUCCUCCGUCCGCUCGAGUGAAAUUCGUUCAUACACAUCCGGGAGGAAAUCCAAUGCCUCG
Leptopilina heterotoma is the source of this 4234-nucleotide RNA transcript. It is a transcript of the gene named NAD(+) hydrolase sarm1, with no coding region annotated. Lineage: Eukaryota; Metazoa; Arthropoda; Insecta; Hymenoptera; Figitidae. The transcript is spliced from 12 exons. The record is from RefSeq and is a predicted model, not a curated record.